CCUGGACACCGGACACCUACCCAACCCUGUCCCCUACAGAUCUACCCAACCCUGUCCCCUGGACACCUACCCAACCUAUAAUAAAGGUCUGGGUCAGCCAAUAAAGGUCAGCCAUUAAAGGUCAGCCAAUAAAGGUCAGGGUCAGCCAUUAAAGGUCAGCCAAUAAAGGUCAGCCAAUAAAGGUCAGCCAAUAAAGGUCAGCCAUUAAAGGUCAGCCAAUAAAGGUCAGCCAAUAAAGGUCAGCCAUUAAAUGUCAGCCAUUAAAGGUCAGCCAAUAAAGGUCAGCCAAUAAAGGUCAGCCAUUAAAGGUCAGCCAAUAAAGGUCAGCCAAUAAAGGUCAGCCAUUAAAGGUCAGCCAUUAAAGGUCAGCCAAUAAAGGUCAGCCAUUAAAGGUCAGCCAUUAAAGGUCAGCCAAUAAAGGUCAGGGUCAGCCAUUAAAGGUCAGCCAUUAAAGGUCAGCCAUUAAAGGUCAGCCAUUCAAGGUCAGCCAAUGACUAAAUAGGAAAUAUGGUGGCAUUUGGAACUCAUACCCUAAAGUACAUGAACUAGCCGAUACAGUAUAUAUGAACAUUUAGAGAGAGAGAGAGAGAGACAGAGAGAGAGAGAGACAGAGAGAGCGAGAGAGAGAGACAGAGAGAGAGAGAGAGAGAGAGAGAGACAGAGAGAGAGAGAGAGAGAGACAGAGAGAGAGAGAGAGAGAGAGAGAGACAGAGAGAGA
This 718-nucleotide long non-coding RNA is filed under the name Salmo salar (Atlantic salmon). RNAcentral describes it as "lncRNA (ENSSSAG00000099773.1)". Lineage: Eukaryota; Metazoa; Chordata; Actinopteri; Salmoniformes; Salmonidae. The record is from RNAcentral.